GGAGGGUGCAAGCGUUAUUCGGAAUCACUGGGCGUAAAGAGCGCGUAGGCGGUUUCUAAAGUCAGAUGUGAAAGCCCGGGGCUCAACCUCGGAAGUGCAUUUGAAACUUAGGGACUUGAGUAUGGGAGAGGGAAGUGGAAUUCCUGGUGUAGCGGUGAAAUGCGUAGAUAUCAGGAGGAACACCGGUGGCGAAGGCGACUUCCUGGACCAAUACUGACGCUGAGGCGCGAAGGCGUGGGGAGCAAACAGGGAUUAGAUACCCUGGUAGUCCACGCAGUAAACGUUGAACACUAGGUGUAGCGGGUAUUGACCCCCUGCUGUGCCGCAGCUAACGCAUUAAGUGUUCCGCCUGGGGAGUACGGCCGCAAGGCUA
This 373-nucleotide ribosomal RNA is filed under the name uncultured organism. RNAcentral describes it as "partial 16S ribosomal RNA". It matches the Rfam family "Bacterial small subunit ribosomal RNA", at positions 527 to 896 of the family's 1533-position model. The record is from RNAcentral.